Molecule: transfer RNA, 70 nt
Filed under: Euspira pila
Lineage: Eukaryota; Metazoa; Mollusca; Gastropoda; Littorinimorpha; Naticidae
Description: tRNA-Ala
Source: RNAcentral
AAAAAGUUGACUUAAUACUUUAAACAAAAAGAUUUGGCUUGCAUUCAAAAAUUAGAUUAUUUCAAUCUUU